GAGUUUGAUCGUGGCUCAGGAUGAACGCUGGCGGCGUGCCUAAUACAUGCAAGUCAAGCGAACGGACGAGAAGCUUGCUUCUCUGAUGUUAGCGGCGGACGGGUGAGUAACACGUGGAUAACCUACCUAUAAGACUGGGAUAACUUCGGGAAACCGGAGCUAAUACCGGAUGAUAUUUUGAACCGCAUGGUUCAAAAGUGAAAGACGGUCUUGCUGUCACUUAUAGAUGGAUCCGCGCUGCAUUAGCUAGUUGGUAAGGUAACGGCUUGCCAAGGCAACGAUGCAUAGCCGACCUGAGAGGGUGAUCGGCCACACUGGAACUGAGACACGGUCCAGACUCCUACGGGAGGCAGCAGUAGGGAAUCUUCCGCAAUGGGCGAAAGCCUGACGGAGCAACGCCGCGUGAGUGAUGAAGGUCUUCGGAUCGUAAAACUCUGUUAUUAGGGAAGAACAUAUGUGUAAGUAACUGUGCACAUCUUGACGGUACCUAAUCAGAAAGCCACGGCU
This 507-nucleotide ribosomal RNA is filed under the name uncultured microorganism. RNAcentral's name for it is "bacterial SSU rRNA". It matches the Rfam family "Bacterial small subunit ribosomal RNA", at positions 9 to 498 of the family's 1533-position model. The record is from RNAcentral.